GACCGCGUAGUUCAGUUGGCAGAGCAUUGGGCUAGCAUUCCAAAGGUCGUAGGUUCGAUUCCCACCGUGGUCA
This 73-nucleotide transfer RNA is filed under the name Paramuricea clavata. It matches the Rfam family "tRNA". Rfam says of the family: Transfer RNA (tRNA) molecules are approximately 80 nucleotides in length. Lineage: Eukaryota; Metazoa; Cnidaria; Anthozoa; Malacalcyonacea; Plexauridae. The record is from Rfam by way of RNAcentral.